GAUGAACGCUGGCGGCGUGCCUAAUACAUGCAAGUCGAGCGAACAGACGAGGAGCUUGCUCCUUCGACGUUAGCGGCGGACGGGUGAGUAACACGUAGGUAACCUACCUAUAAGACUGGGAUAACUUCGGGAAACCGGAGCUAAUACCGGAUAAUAUUUCGAACCGCAUGGUUCGAUAGUGAAAGAUGGCUUUGCUAUCACUUAUAGAUGGACCUGCGCCGUAUUAGCUAGCUGGUAAGGUAACGGCUUACCAAGGCAACGAUACGUAGCCGACCUGAGAGGGUGAUCGGCCACACUGGAACUGAGACACGGUCCAGACUCCUACGGGAGGCAGCAGUAGGGAAUCUUCCGCAAUGGGCGAAAGCCUGACGGAGCAACGCCGCGUGAGUGAUGAAGGUCUUCGGAUCGUAAAACUCUGUUAUUAGGGAAGAACAAACGUGUAAGUAGCUGUGCACGUCUUGACGGUACCUAAUCAGAAAGCCACGGCUAACUACGUG
This 497-nucleotide ribosomal RNA is filed under the name uncultured bacterium. Its description in RNAcentral is "partial 16S ribosomal RNA". It matches the Rfam family "Bacterial small subunit ribosomal RNA", at positions 28 to 507 of the family's 1533-position model. The record is from RNAcentral.